GUGGGGAAUAUUGGGCAAUGGGGGAAACCCUGACCCAGCGACGCCGCGUGAGGGAAGACGGCCUUCGGGUUGUAAACCUCUUUUGUACGGGAAGAAGGAAGUGACGGUACUGUACGAAUAAGUCCCGGCUAACUACGUGCCAGCAGCCGCGGUAAUACGUAGGGGACGAGCGUUGUCCGGAAUUACUGGGCGUAAAGGGCGCGCAGGCUGUGCUGCAAGUCAGCUGUGAAAUGUCUGGGCUUAACCCGGGCAUGCGGUUGAGACUGCAGUGCUGGAGUGCUGUAGAGGCAAGUGGAAUUCCCAGUGUAGCGGUGAAAUGCGUAGAUAUUGGGAAGAACACCGGUGGCGAAGGCGACUUGCUGGCCAGCAACUGACGCUGAGGCGCGAAAGCCAGGGGAGCAAACGGGAUUAGAUACCCUUGUAGUCC
This 427-nucleotide ribosomal RNA is filed under the name uncultured bacterium. RNAcentral describes it as "partial 16S ribosomal RNA". It matches the Rfam family "Bacterial small subunit ribosomal RNA", at positions 354 to 796 of the family's 1533-position model. The record is from RNAcentral.